RNAcentral lists this ribosomal RNA (2886 nucleotides) under Vibrio cholerae. Its description in RNAcentral is "bacterial LSU rRNA". It matches the Rfam family "Bacterial large subunit ribosomal RNA". RNAcentral also lists the same sequence under 1 other name. The record is from RNAcentral. Lineage: Bacteria; Pseudomonadati; Pseudomonadota; Gammaproteobacteria; Vibrionales; Vibrionaceae.
UUAAGUGACUAAGCGUACACGGUGGAUGCCUAGGCAGUCAGAGGCGAUGAAGGACGUACUAACUUGCGAUAAGCGCAGAUAAGGCAGUAAGAGCCGUUUGAGUCUGCGAUUUCCGAAUGGGGAAACCCAACUGCAUAAGCAGUUACUGUUAACUGAAUACAUAGGUUAACAGAGCAAACCGGGGGAACUGAAACAUCUAAGUACCCCGAGGAGAAGAAAUCAACCGAGAUUCCGGUAGUAGCGGCGAGCGAACCUGGAUUAGCCCUUAAGCACUCGUUGAAGUAGGUGAACAAGCUGGAAAGCUUGGCGAUACAGGGUGAUAGCCCCGUAACCGACGCUUCAUCGAGCGUGAAAUCGAGUAGGGCGGGACACGUGAUAUCCUGUCUGAAUAUGGGGGGACCAUCCUCCAAGGCUAAAUACUCCUGACUGACCGAUAGUGAACCAGUACCGUGAGGGAAAGGCGAAAAGAACCCCUGUGAGGGGAGUGAAAUAGAACCUGAAACCGUGUACGUACAAGCAGUAGGAGCACCUUCGUGGUGUGACUGCGUACCUUUUGUAUAAUGGGUCAGCGACUUAUAUUCAGUGGCAAGGUUAACCGUAUAGGGGAGCCGUAGCGAAAGCGAGUCUUAACUGGGCGCUCAGUCUCUGGAUAUAGACCCGAAACCGGGUGAUCUAGCCAUGGGCAGGUUGAAGGUUGAGUAACAUCAACUGGAGGACCGAACCGACUAAUGUUGAAAAAUUAGCGGAUGACUUGUGGCUAGGGGUGAAAGGCCAAUCAAACUCGGAGAUAGCUGGUUCUCCCCGAAAGCUAUUUAGGUAGCGCCUCGGACGAAUACUACUGGGGGUAGAGCACUGUUAAGGCUAGGGGGUCAUCCCGACUUACCAACCCUUUGCAAACUCCGAAUACCAGUAAGUACUAUCCGGGAGACACACGGCGGGUGCUAACGUCCGUCGUGGAGAGGGAAACAACCCAGACCGCCAGCUAAGGUCCCAAAGUAUUGCUAAGUGGGAAACGAUGUGGGAAGGCUCAGACAGCUAGGAUGUUGGCUUAGAAGCAGCCAUCAUUUAAAGAAAGCGUAAUAGCUCACUAGUCGAGUCGGCCUGCGCGGAAGAUGUAACGGGGCUAAGCAAUACACCGAAGCUGCGGCAAUAUCUUUUAGAUAUUGGGUAGGGGAGCGUUCUGUAAGCCGUUGAAGGUGGUCUGUAAGGGCUGCUGGAGGUAUCAGAAGUGCGAAUGCUGACAUGAGUAACGACAAAGGGGGUGAAAAACCUCCUCGCCGGAAGACCAAGGGUUCCUGUCCAACGUUAAUCGGGGCAGGGUGAGUCGACCCCUAAGGUGAGGCCGAAAGGCGUAAUCGAUGGGAAACGGGUUAAUAUUCCCGUACUUCUGACUAUUGCGAUGGGGGGACGGAGAAGGCUAGGUGGGCCAGGCGACGGUUGUCCUGGUUCAAGUGCGUAGGCUUGAGAGUUAGGUAAAUCCGGCUCUCUUUAAGGCUGAGACACGACGUCGAGCUGCUACGGCAGUGAAGUCAUUGAUGCCAUGCUUCCAGGAAAAGCCUCUAAGCUUCAGAUAGUCAGGAAUCGUACCCCAAACCGACACAGGUGGUCGGGUAGAGAAUACCAAGGCGCUUGAGAGAACUCGGGUGAAGGAACUAGGCAAAAUGGUACCGUAACUUCGGGAGAAGGUACGCUCUUGAUGGUGAAGUCCCUCGCGGAUGGAGCUGACGAGAGUCGCAGAUACCAGGUGGCUGCAACUGUUUAUUAAAAACACAGCACUGUGCAAAAUCGCAAGAUGACGUAUACGGUGUGACGCCUGCCCGGUGCCGGAAGGUUAAUUGAUGGGGUUAGCGCAAGCGAAGUUCUUGAUCGAAGCCCCGGUAAACGGCGGCCGUAACUAUAACGGUCCUAAGGUAGCGAAAUUCCUUGUCGGGUAAGUUCCGACCUGCACGAAUGGCGUAAUGAUGGCCACGCUGUCUCCACCCGAGACUCAGUGAAAUUGAAAUCGCUGUGAAGAUGCAGUGUACCCGCGGCUAGACGGAAAGACCCCGUGAACCUUUACUACAGCUUGGCACUGAACAUUGAACCUACAUGUGUAGGAUAGGUGGGAGGCUAUGAAGACGUGACGCUAGUUGCGUUGGAGCCGUCCUUGAAAUACCACCCUUGUAUGUUUGAUGUUCUAACUUAGCCCCAUUAUCUGGGGUGAGGACAGUGCCUGGUGGGUAGUUUGACUGGGGCGGUCUCCUCCCAAAGAGUAACGGAGGAGCACGAAGGUGGGCUAAUCACGGUUGGACAUCGUGAGGUUAGUGCAAUGGCAUAAGCCCGCUUAACUGCGAGAAUGACGGUUCGAGCAGGUGCGAAAGCAGGUCAUAGUGAUCCGGUGGUUCUGUAUGGAAGGGCCAUCGCUCAACGGAUAAAAGGUACUCCGGGGAUAACAGGCUGAUACCGCCCAAGAGUUCAUAUCGACGGCGGUGUUUGGCACCUCGAUGUCGGCUCAUCACAUCCUGGGGCUGAAGUCGGUCCCAAGGGUAUGGCUGUUCGCCAUUUAAAGUGGUACGCGAGCUGGGUUUAGAACGUCGUGAGACAGUUCGGUCCCUAUCUGCCGUGGGCGUUGGAAGAUUGAAGGGGGGCUGCUCCUAGUACGAGAGGACCGGAGUGGACGAACCUCUGGUGUUCGGGUUGUGUCGCCAGACGCAUUGCCCGGUAGCUAAGUUCGGAAUUGAUAAGCGCUGAAAGCAUCUAAGCGCGAAGCGAGCCCUGAGAUGAGUCUUCCCUGAUACUUUAAGUAUCCUAAAGGGUUGUUCGAGACUAGAACGUUGAUAGGCAGGGUGUGUAAGCGUUGUGAGGCGUUGAGCUAACCUGUACUAAUUGCCCGUGAGGCUUAACCAU